AGUAAAGUGUCUGAUUUUUAGGUAUUAAACUGUAAAUUUAAUUAAGAAUGACAUAUUCCUUUAUUA
This 66-nucleotide transfer RNA is filed under the name Ptenothrix huangshanensis. RNAcentral's name for it is "tRNA-Tyr". Lineage: Eukaryota; Metazoa; Arthropoda; Collembola; Symphypleona; Dicyrtomidae. The record is from RNAcentral.